AUGCAACCAUGGCCUUCUGGGAAUUUUCGACUCACUCAUCCAUUGAGCGCCGACCAGAGCAUUUUGGGCAGCUUAGUUUCUGGGUUUCCACUGAGCAGCGACGGAAGAGAAGGGAAUUCAUCACUCCGUCUGUUUCCCCUAAGUGCUCAAACAAAUUCCUAUGGGGAGUCGCAUGGCCACUCCGUUCUGGGAACACAACUGCUAACUAUGGGCAUGUCAGUGCAUUGCCAGUUUUGGUGUCAAGAGGAUUUUACAGGGAGCGGCCGCGUGGAGUUCCAAAUUAACUCAGCGGUGUUUGCAACUGCAGGAGAUUUUGUGUUCAAACCAUGGCUGCGGCAGUACAAUUUCAGUGGACGCUUCGGAAGGAUACUCACCAACCAGUUCUUGCAUUUGUGGUCCUUGAAGCAUGACAGUGAUGAUUCAGAUUUUACUAAGCAUGUCAAGCUUAUCAUCACUUCCAAACAACAUCACUCUUGUCUUGCUACGGGGUGCGUUCUUGUCUUGCAAGAUCUCAAUGCUGCUCAAUCCACCCUUAAGACUGCGCAGAUGCUGAAGAUAGAGGUGACAGCAGCGGGGCUGCAGCCAGCAAGUCUCCGCGUGAGGCAGUCAUUGCUUGGUACUUACAUCAGGCUACGGCCGACACCGUGGCCAUCGUUUUGGAUGGAUCUUGCUGACGGAAAUGAGCUUAUGACACCAUGUAUUCUUGAGAAGGCUGUUUGCCGGAUCAUCAUGGUGCCAAGAGAUAUUAUUGUUCGGAGCCAGCUGAUUAUGCAUUUUAUGGAUGAUUUGAACUUGGAUACUAGAGAACGGCAAUUAGUUAUCGUGUAUGUGCAGUCCUCCUAUGAGUUGCAUGCUCAAGAUGUACAGUCGAGGUUCAGGUUCAGUCCAGACAAUGUUCACCUGAAGUUGUCAAGGCCAUCUGCUGCUAUUCGUGUAUUCUGUACAGUUCUCUUUGGCAAUCAAUCAAUGCUGCUGCUGCACGACGGGUUAAUACAAGGCAUGCAACUGUCCAAGUCUGUUGACCUCCGGGAUGCAACUCUUUCAAGCAUGCAUUAUGUGAUACUGAACUUGGUCCAGUCUGGAAAACUACUUGUUGCCAACAGUCAGUUUUGGCCUAGAGGAUGGUUGUUUCCGGAGUACCAUAAGAUAUGUCUUUAUUGGCGAAUUUGGGAUCCAGGAUGGAUGUUCUGCUACACUACCAUACUCAGCUCAGGUGAUAUCACUGGUUACUUGCAUCGUAUGAUUCUGUCCAUUUUGAGAAGUUCAGCAAAUUGUACACAGGCCGAGCUAGCACAUGGAUAUAAGUAUUCAGGUUUUAAUUUGCACAUAUCAACUUCUGGGACUGGGAUUGAGUGUCGUUCGUCUAUGUUGUCUACAUUCGGUGAGUCCUUGAUGCAUCUUCAUAGGGCAGUACAACCUAAUACAGUGGAGUGCAAAGAAUUUAAGAGAAAAAAUUGUCCAUGCUUAGGGAUCCAACUGGAGAGAAGUUUGUUGAUACUGAUUGAGUUGGAGAAGUGCACUGCGUAUCUGAAUUCAGGUGCAGUUACACGCCCACUUGCUCAGCAGCUGCAGAACAUCUCUGUGAUUGAGAGUGCAUUCGAGCUAUUGGUGCACAUACUACAUCAAGCGUCACUACUAGGGAAAACCUUAUACACAGAAAUUUAG
RNAcentral lists this ribosomal RNA (1665 nucleotides) under Triticum aestivum (bread wheat). Its description in RNAcentral is "partial small subunit ribosomal RNA". The record is from RNAcentral. Lineage: Eukaryota; Viridiplantae; Streptophyta; Magnoliopsida; Poales; Poaceae.